GAUGAACGCUGGCGGCGUGCCUAACACAUGCAAGUCGAACGAAGCACCUUACCUGAUUCUUCGGAUGAAAGUUUGGUGACUGAGUGGCGGACGGGUGAGUAACGCGUGGGUAACCUGCCCUGUACAGGGGGAUAACAGCUGGAAGCGGCUGCUAAUACCGCAUAAGCGCACGAGGAGACAUCUCCUUGUGUGAAAAACUCCGGUGGUACAGGAUGGGCCCGCGUCUGAUUAGCUGGUUGGCAGGGUAACGGCCUACCAAGGCAACGAUCAGUAGCCGGUCUGAGAGGAUGAACGGCCACAUUGGAACUGAGACACGGUCCAAACUCCUACGGGAGGCAGCAGUGGGGAAUAUUGCACAAUGGGGGAAACCCUGAUGCAGCAACGCCGCGUGAGUGAAGAAGUAUUUCGGUAUGUAAAGCUCUAUCAGCAGGGAAGAUAAUGACGGUACCUGACUAAGAAGCUCCGGCUAAAUACGUG
This 477-nucleotide ribosomal RNA is filed under the name uncultured bacterium. RNAcentral describes it as "partial 16S ribosomal RNA". It matches the Rfam family "Bacterial small subunit ribosomal RNA", at positions 28 to 507 of the family's 1533-position model. The record is from RNAcentral.